Molecule: long non-coding RNA, 4383 nt
Filed under: Homo sapiens (human)
Lineage: Eukaryota; Metazoa; Chordata; Mammalia; Primates; Hominidae
Description: HSALNT0152294
Source: RNAcentral
AACAGGGGGAGGCGGCGUGACACGGAGGGGGUGAUCAACCCACGUGGGUCGAGCCUGGAGCCUAGCGGAGGGCGGGGCGGGGCCGCUGGGGGGCAGGAUCCAGCAGGGGCGUCUGUCCCCAGGCCCUAAGGCAGGAGCCGGGGCGGUGCGGAGGGCCGGGGCAGCGCGGCGAGCCUGGAGCUAAGUCGCUGGGGAGGUGGGAAAGGGCCCGGGCAUCCAGGCCUGAGGCCUGAGAGGGCAGCGGUCGGGACCCUCGGGCAAUGAGAGCAAGGUAGAGUCCAUCCGAGAGGACACGUCCGCGGUUUGCUGCAAAAAGCCCCCUUUGGCUGCUGCGUGGAGGGAGGCUCCGGAGAGCGUGGAAUCAGAGGACCUGUGGCAUCUGCCCACUACUGGCUGCGGAGCUUGGCCAUCCUGGCAUGUUUUGAUCCUCCCUCUACAACCCUCUGGGGCAGACUGUUUGCUAUGAAGGAUGCAGAGGCAAUUUCCAUAAUUGUCUCAAGAAAAGAUUUGAUCAGCCAAACUGUGAGCAGAAACAGCCUCGGCGGAGGGAAAGCCAAAGGCACAGCACGGGGUGCAGAAACCAAUGGAAACAGACCACACAGGCCACGGGGAGACCCGGAACGUCUGGGUCCAGUCUAGGCCCCUCCCCAUUCUAUAGAAAGGGAAGCUGAGGCGCAUGGAGGCCACGUGGCCCGACCCAGCUCCCAUGGAAAGUCUGUGAGCAAAACGGCAGAUUGUGCAUUGUGUGGGUUGUGCGCCACGUGGAGACAUUGGUAGCGUUGAAAUCCAUCAGGGCACAUUAUGGGGUUCGCUCUUGAAAACCCUCCCAAAGACAAUGCACCGUUCCUUGAAGCUAAUUGCUUUAGUUUGAGGUAAUAUUCGUCACAGAAACACCAGCAGUAACCUUUGGUCUUGGCAAAUUCUCCCCUCAAUCACAUAACGUAAACAGCGAUAAACGAGGGCUUUUUAAGGCUUUCUUCAUAAUGCGUUACACAUGCAUUUGUUACUGAAUCUGCGUGAGCUCCAAGCCCUGAAAUCUGAGCUCAGCUGGGAGGUGAGUGGGCUGGUCCGCCUGCGGUGGGGUCAGCGUCCCCAGGAGACACCCAGCCCAACCGGCCGGGCCCCUUCCCCCACUCCUCCUCCUCCCCUCCCUUCUCCCCACUCCUCCACCUUCUCACCAGCUUCUCUCUCUCCCCUUUCUCUCUAGCCCUUUCUUCUACUCUGUCUCCCUUUGUCUCACCCUGCAUCUCUUCUUUCUUUUUUCUGUCUUUCACUCUCUGGACCUGCUUGUGGUUCUUUUACUUUGUCAUCUUGGCCUCAGUUUCUGUGUGUCGGUGUUCUGCUCUCUGAUUUUCUCUGUAUUUCUCUCCUUGUACGAUUCUCUGUCUCUCCUUGUCUGACUGAUUCUCCCUCUUUGUCUCUUCAUCUCUCUCUCUCAUCUCUGUCUCUCCAACUGUCCCCUUACACAUACCCUGCAAAGAGCCUGGCUCCCCCUCCUCCUUCCUUUUCUACCCAGGGGAUUCAGAGGAGUAUUCACCUAGGGGUGGGGGAUUGCAGCAGUGGAGGAUGAACAAAGCAUUUGGGAGGCUCACAAGAAGGCUCAUGGUCUUUAGGUGGGGGUGGGAGAAGUCAGGGCGGGCUGCGUGGAGGUGAUGAAGUUCAUUUGAGUGAAGUCUGGGAGGAGCAAUAGGAACCGGCCACAUGGAGGUGGCAAGAACAGCAUUUCACGCAGAGGAACCAUGGACGCGCAGGCACAGGGAUGAAACCCUCUUGCUGUCUGCAUGGCCCUCACUGCACAGAGGAGUGACUGCCCCGAUCUGCUAGGCUAAGAGGAGGGCAAGGCGCAGAGAGGGCAAUGCUGCUAGAGGCAGGCCAUGAGUGGGUGACGGCAGGACCCAGCCAUCUCACCUGACCAGACCUGGGCCUUCCUCACUGAGGCAGCUCUUGUUGGCUUCCCAUCCCCAGGGAUCUCUGCAGGGACCACAGGUGGACAAACAGAAGGCUUCCAGAAAAUGGAAGGCUUUAUAGGGAGGGGAAAUGUUGCAGGACUGUGUUAAAAGUCCAUCUUCUUCCCCAGAAACCUGCCUGGUCCAUCUCAGGCAUGUCAGCCCCACCUCUCCAGGCCACAGGCCUCAGCGUGUCUGCUCCCUUCCCCACUCACCAUUGCCCACUUGGCCUCAGACUCUGCAAUUCUACCAGUCAAGCCCUCAUCCCCAUCCUGGACAGUGGCAGCUGCCGCCUCUCAGGCCCUGGCUCCCCGCACCCCCACAGCCUGUCUCCACUGUGGCCACCCAAGCCUGACCAUCCCUCCUCAGAUUAGACCCUCCAUGGCCAUCUCAGAGAGAAGCCGGCCCCACAACGUCCCAGAGACCAUACCUCUGACCCCUCCGUCACCACCGAAUGUUACCUUUUCAGAGGGGCCUCUUGUGGGCCCAAGGCCCUGCAAUUUUGCUUCACUGUGCCCCCCAACACACACAGAAUUUACUUAUUUUCUUGGGUCACUCUCCACCCCCACUUGACUGGGCUCCUAGAGCUGUGUGUUGCCUGCCCUGCCCUGGUGGGACAGUGUCCCUGAGCUGAGAACCUGACACUGGGGUGGGCACAGGAGGGGCUGCAGGCAGGGGAGCUGCAGGGUGCAGGGACAUGGUGCAGGCAUGGGGGCCCCAGGCCCUUCCAAGGGACGCUCCUGUCCCCCAGGUGCCCAGGCCCUCCAGGGAGGCACUCUCCACUUGCUGGGCUCUGCGAUUCAGACAGCGGGACCCUCAUGGGGCCCUGGCCUCACCUGUGAGCAGCAGGCUCUGGGGCUGCUCCAGGAAUGGAGCCAGAGGCCUCUGCAGGCCCUCGUGCUACUCAAAUAACAAGAACAUUGAACAUUGCAGCAGUGUAACGUAAAAGACCAGUUUCCUUCAGCACCCAUUUUAGUGAGCCUGAAAGAGAUUUCCUGACGGCCCCAGCCCAGAACCAGCCCUACGGUGGAGUGUCAGCAGAACCUCCGUGCUCCUCUCUGGCAGCUCCCUUGAGCCUUCAACCCCCUUGCCCAGUGGGGGCUAGGGAGGGGGAGUUGGGGGCAGGUCCUGCAGCCUCACUCCUGCCUUCUAAGGUCACUUCCAGGAAGCAUCUCCUCUGCGCCCUCCGACCUCCUAAACCCCCAAUCCUGAAUCUAUAUCCCCCACAUCAUGGUGAGGGCGGGUUUGUCAGGUUUUAAAAGCUUUAUUUUUUGGGCUUAGGGAUGUUUGAGUUUUCCUUUAAUUUUUCUUCUUUAAAACAUCCUCAUGCAUUACAUAUGCUUACCCACGUUUGAUAUAUUUCACAAUUAUAAAAUAGUUUUUUAAAUAAAAAGGGCACAUGAAUAACGUUAUUCAUUAAGGUUAACUAUCAGGUUAAGAUAAUUAAAGUGUUGUAAGAUCUUAACAUUAUUUACAAGGAAUAAAAAUAGUUAUUAAUGUUAGACUUUGGGAAAUAAUACAUAUUGUAAUUUCUAGAGUAAUCUCAAAAGAAAAAUGGUAUAUAAUUUUCAAACUAGUGGUGGAAAAAAUGAAAUGCUAAAAAUAAUCAAUUCAAAGGAAUAACAGAAAAGAAAUAUGGAACGGACCACAAAUAAAAAGCAGAAAAUAAGAUGGAAAAUUAAAGCCCAGCUAUACCAGUAAUUACAUUCUAUGUACAUGGGCCAAAUGCUUCCAUAAAAGACAAAUGUCAUCAGAUUGAAUUUUAAUAAUUCGAACUACAUGCUCUUUUUUGUUUAAAUGACAAACUUUAUUUUUUAAUUGACACAUUGUAAUUGUACGUAUUUAUAGGGUGCAUUUUGAUGUUUUGAUGUAUAUCUAUGUUGUAUAAUGAUCCAAUUAGGGUAGUUAAUGUAUCCAUCACCUUAUGCAUUUAUCAUUUCUUUGUGGUGAGAACAUUCAAAAGACCCCCUUCUAGCUAUUUUGGAAAAUGCAAUACUCUUUACCAUAGGCACCCUAUUAUGCAAUAGAACACCAGAACUCAUUUCUUCUCUCUAAAUGUAACUUUGUACCUGUUGACUAACCUCUCCCCAUCCUCCCCACUCUCUUCCCUCCCCAGUCUCUGGUAACCACUGUUCUACUCUCUGCUUCUAUGAUUAUCAACUUUUUUUUCCUUUUUAGAUUCCACAUAUGGGCAAGAUUAUGUGGUAUCUGUCUUUCUGUGUCUGGAGUAUUUCGGUUAACAUAAUGUCCUCCAGGUUCAUCCACGUUGCCAAGAUGACAGGACGUCCUUCUUUUUAUGGCUGAAUAGUAUUCCAUUGCAUGUAUGUACCACAUUUUCUGUAUCCAUUCAACCACUGAUGACUCUUAGAUUGACUCCAUAUCUUGGUUGUUGUUGUGAAUAAUGCUGCAAUAAAUGUGGGAGUGCAGAGAUCUCUUC